CUUAGGUCAGGCCUGAAUAAGGCUGAUGAGGUGUAGUCCAAGUGUAAGGGGUAUGUGUUUCAGUUUCAGACUUCUAAUCAUAAUCAGUAUUACUACUGUCUACCAUAUGAUUGAAA
This is a long non-coding RNA of Lolium rigidum, 116 nucleotides long. RefSeq lists it as uncharacterized. The transcript has 2 exons. The record is from RefSeq and is a predicted model, not a curated record. NCBI's taxonomy places the organism in Eukaryota, Viridiplantae, Streptophyta, Magnoliopsida, Poales, Poaceae.